GGGUUGUGAGGUUAAGCGACUAAGCGUACACGGUGGAUGCCCUGGCAGUCAGAGGCGAUGAAGGGCGUGCUAAUCUGCGAUAAGCGCCGGUAAGGUGAUAUGAACCGUUAUAACCGGCGAUACCCGAAUGGGGAAACCCAGUGUGACUCGUCACACUAUCAUUAACUGAAUCCAUAGGUUAAUGAGGCGAACCGGGGGAACUGAAACAUCUAAGUACCCCGAGGAAAAGAAAUCAACCGAGAUUCCCCCAGUAGCGGCGAGCGAACGGGGAGGAGCCCAGAGCCUGAAUCAGCAUGUGUGUUAGUGGAAGCGUCUGGAAAGGCGCGCGAUACAGGGUGACAGCCCCGUACACAAAAGCGUAUGUGCUGUGAGCUCGAUGAGUAGGGCGGGACACGUGGUAUCCUGUCUGAAUAUGGGGGGACCAUCCUCCAAGGCUAAAUACUCCUGACUGACCGAUAGUGAACCAGUACCGUGAGGGAAAGGCGAAAAGAACCCCGGCGAGGGGAGUGAAAAAGAACCUGAAACCGUGUACGUACAAGCAGUGGGAGCCCCACCACUAAGCCAGUGGUGAACUCCACAUACGCAUCCUUUGCUGAGGAUACGGUUAACGGAGCGAAAGCGACGUUCAACCGCAAAAGAAGCAGAGGGGGCUUAGUGGUGGGGUGACUGCGUACCUUUUGUAUAAUGGGUCAGCGACUUAUAUUCUGUAGCAAGGUUAACCGAAUAGGGGAGCCGGAGGGAAACCGAGUCUUAAUUGGGCGUUAAGUUGCAGGGUAUAGACCCGAAACCCGGUGAUCUAGCCAUGGGCAGGUUGAAGGUUGGGUAACACUAACUGGAGGACCGAACCGACUAAUGUUGAAAAAUUAGCGGAUGACCUGUGGCUGGGGGUGAAAGGCCAAUCAAACCGGGAGAUAGCUGGUUCUCCCCGAAAGCUAUUUAGGUAGCGCCUCGUGAAUUCAUCUCCGGGGGUAGAGCACUGUUUCGGCUAGGGGGCCAUCCCGGCUUACCAACCCGAUGCAAACUGCGAAUACCGGAGAAUGUUAUCACGGGAGACACACGGCGGGUGCUAACGUCCGUCGUGAAGAGGGAAACAACCCAGACCGCCAGCUAAGGUCCCAAAGUCAUGGUUAAGUGGGAAACGAUGUGGGAAGGCCCAGACAGCCAGGAUGUUGGCUUAGAAGCAGCCAUCAUUUAAAGAAAGCGUAAUAGCUCACUGGUCGAGUCGGCCUGCGCGGAAGAUGUAACGGGGCUAAACCAUGCACCGAAGCUGCGGCAGCGACGCUUAUGCGUUGUUGGGUAGGGGAGCGUUCUGUAAGCCUGUGAAGGUGGCCUGUGAGGGUUGCUGGAGGUAUCAGAAGUGCGAAUGCUGACAUAAGUAACGAUAAAGCGGGUGAAAAGCCCGCUCGCCGGAAGACCAAGGGUUCCUGUCCAACGUUAAUCGGGGCAGGGUGAGUCGACCCUAAGGCGAGGCCGAAAGGCGUAGUCGAUGGGAAACGGGUUAAUAUUCCCGUACUUGGUGUUACUGCGAAGGGGGACGGAGAAGGCUAUGUUGGCCGGGCGACGGUUGUCCCGGUUUAAGCGUGUAGGUGUGUGUUCCGGGUAAAUCCGGUUCACUUUAACACUGAGGCGUGAUGACGAGGCACUACGGUGCUGAAGUAACAAAUGCCCUGCUUCGGGAAAAGCCUCUAAGCAUCAGGUAACAUCAAAUCGUACCCCAAACCGACACAGGUGGUCAGGUAGAGAAUACCAAGGCGCUUGAGAGAACUCGGGUGAAGGAACUAGGCAAAAUGGUGCCGUAACUUCGGGAGAAGGCACGCUGACACGUAGGUGAAGUGAUUUACUCAUGGAGCUGAAGUCAGUCGAAGAUACCAGCUGGCUGCAACUGUUUAUUAAAAACACAGCACUGUGCAAACACGAAAGUGGACGUAUACGGUGUGACGCCUGCCCGGUGCCGGAAGGUUAAUUGAUGGGGUCAGCGCAAGCGAAGCUCCUGAUCGAAGCCCCGGUAAACGGCGGCCGUAACUAUAACGGUCCUAAGGUAGCGAAAUUCCUUGUCGGGUAAGUUCCGACCUGCACGAAUGGCGUAAUGAUGGCCAGGCUGUCUCCACCCGAGACUCAGUGAAAUUGAACUCGCUGUGAAGAUGCAGUGUACCCGCGGCAAGACGGAAAGACCCCGUGAACCUUUACUAUAGCUUGACACUGAACAUUGAGCCUUGAUGUGUAGGAUAGGUGGGAGGCUUUGAAGUGUGGACGCCAGUCUGCAUGGAGCCGACCUUGAAAUACCACCCUUUAAUGUUUGAUGUUCUAACGUGGACCCGUGAUCCGGGUUGCGGACAGUGUCUGGUGGGUAGUUUGACUGGGGCGGUCUCCUCCUAAAGAGUAACGGAGGAGCACGAAGGUUGGCUAAUCCUGGUCGGACAUCAGGAGGUUAGUGCAAUGGCAUAAGCCAGCUUGACUGCGAGCGUGACGGCGCGAGCAGGUGCGAAAGCAGGUCAUAGUGAUCCGGUGGUUCUGAAUGGAAGGGCCAUCGCUCAACGGAUAAAAGGUACUCCGGGGAUAACAGGCUGAUACCGCCCAAGAGUUCAUAUCGACGGCGGUGUUUGGCACCUCGAUGUCGGCUCAUCACAUCCUGGGGCUGAAGUAGGUCCCAAGGGUAUGGCUGUUCGCCAUUUAAAGUGGUACGCGAGCUGGGUUUAGAACGUCGUGAGACAGUUCGGUCCCUAUCUGCCGUGGGCGCUGGAGAACUGAGGGGGGCUGCUCCUAGUACGAGAGGACCGGAGUGGACGCAUCACUGGUGUUCGGGUUGUCAUGCCAAUGGCACUGCCCGGUAGCUAAAUGCGGAAGAGAUAAGUGCUGAAAGCAUCUAAGCACGAAACUUGCCCCGAGAUGAGUUCUCCCUGAGACUUUAGGUCUCCUGAAGGAACGUUGAAGACGACGACGUUGAUAGGCCGGGUGUGUAAGCGCAGCGAUGCGUUGAGCUAACCGGUACUAAUGAACCGUGAGGCUUAACCUUACAACGCCGAAG
Molecule: ribosomal RNA, 3025 nt
Filed under: Salmonella enterica
Lineage: Bacteria; Pseudomonadati; Pseudomonadota; Gammaproteobacteria; Enterobacterales; Enterobacteriaceae
Description: bacterial LSU rRNA
Rfam family: Bacterial large subunit ribosomal RNA
Source: RNAcentral